AGGAGGUACAACCGCAGUGGCGGGGCCAGCUCUGGAGCCCUGGAUUCAGCCCCCGCAGUAACUCCGGAGCUCUCCGUCUGCAGGGCCUGGAGGCUCCGGGGCGGG
Non-coding RNA from Canis lupus familiaris (dog), 105 nucleotides. Lineage: Eukaryota; Metazoa; Chordata; Mammalia; Carnivora; Canidae. The record is from Rfam.